CUCUGCGUUGUCAUCUAAGUCGACAGUGGUAACAGUGUUAGCAUGGAUGCCACCUGGUUGGUCGCCGAGAACUAAGUUGCAAAAUACCAAAUGUGUUCUCAUGUGCAUUGAACAUAGCAUUGAACUUCUUACGAUAAUCUCCGCAGUGCUGUAUAAGGUCUGAUAAAGCAUCAAUGCGAUCAUCAAUAAUGAUUGGGGCUAUGUGAUCCGUAGCCAUUGUCAUGUCUGCAUCUAUCUGUUUUAGAUGUGCCAUGGUGGUCUGGUAUUGGUCAUUGACCGCAGUAGCUAGUUGUGUGUGGUAGUCUACGGUCAGUGUGUCGAUUUUCUCCGCAAUGUUAGUUCGGUGUGGCAACAUGGGUCGAAUGUCUUGUGUUUGUGAUGUUUGUAACCAAGUUGGUAGUAUCUUGGCGUUCAGAGAUUGGCUUAGGUAUGAGUGGUGAUGUUCCACCUUUUCGAAAUUGAAAAGAGCCUGUCGUCUGUUGUGUAGUAGCGUUUUAAUUAUCGUGGCUGCGUGUGGUGGUCGCAGCUGGUUCUGUUGUGGGAUUAGUUGUUACUGAACCCCGUGUUCUUUCUCGGGUAACGCAUUCUGUCGUAGGAUCUCUUGUAUUUGUCUAGAGGAUGAAGGAGGCGGCGGACAGGGCGGCUCCUGCUGCGGUAGCGUCCCUCCGUGCGGCUCCGUUGGUGGAUUUACGGAGAGCAGCGCGUGGUCUGUGUCUAGUGGCGUUGUUGUUGUAUUUGACCCGAGCACUGCUAUUUUUUCAUGGAGGUAGUCAUCGUCUAGUCAUGCGUCGUCCUCGGGAAUUGGUGUUGACGUUCGCUGCUCGUAGGUGUCGGUCCCUCUGCUUGAGCCCGCGACAUCCAUGACGUACACAGGCUCCUCGGAUGGACGUUUCGAGCUGGUCUGACGUGACGCUGCUUGAGGCUUGACCGGUCGCUUGUUCCGUUGUGAUUUUCUGUCCUUACUUCGACCCAUCGCAUUGAAAGCAUGUCUAUAUGUCAUUGGGCUCCAUGUGGGAGUGCAGCUUCUCGCUUGAGUUUGUCGUUUGGACAUGUCAUGGUGAUCGUCGCAGCUGUUGGUAUAUGUAAUUGUUACUAGAGAAACAAGUUAUAAUAACAUCAAAAUAAUGUUUUGUGUUAUAUACUAGAGUCGCCAUGAAUCAAAUUGAGAGAAACCGAUAUCCAGUUAGAUAUCGUUUCAGCGUGCACUCAAUUAACCGGACGCGGUACGACCUAAUGACGUACGCGUUUCGGUUUGCUAUAACCUUCAUCAGCGCCAGGCACGUACCGAUGAGAAUGUCUAACCUUGUGGCACGCUAGAGAGUGUAUCACAUCAGUCCGGUACUUGAGACUCGUUUCUCAAUGGCGUCCUUUGAGCUGUAUGUGAAGGCCUCGGUGAGCUUGAACACAUAAUAAUGUUUUGUGUUUUCGUGUAUUAGUGUAUACUAGUCAAUGAGUAUCAUCUGACAAACCUACACAGACUAGAUAAAAUAAGUAAAUGAGCAAAGAAUAAUUUAUAUGUAAUUGAUCAAGACAAUUGUUUCCUACCAACCUGUUGUCGCCUUAGCUUCAUUUUAGACCCAAAAGUUUGAUUGAUUUCAAAGAUGUCUUCGUAUAUCUUAAUGGCAUCGUCGUAUUUUUCUUGGUACAUCAAACUUUUUCCCAACCAAUUUAAUGCUAGGUUAGAGACACAACAAUCAGUCACAUCGCCUCUUCCAGUCAUUUCCUGUAUUCUUUUAGACAUUCCCAAUAUCUUUACUCUCAACAAAACCUAACAUUAAAUAAAGUCUAACAAAUAAUCAAAGAAUAAGACGUAUGUAAUUGAUAAAGAUAAUUGUCUCUUACCAACCUGUUGCCGUCUUAGCUUCAUAAUCUGACUCAAAGUUUGGUUGAUUUCAAGGAUUUCUUCAUAAAUCUUGAUGGCAUUUUGGUAUUUUUGUUGAUACCUUAAAGUCUAUUGGUUGAGAUUACGUCGUCAUACGUACUUCCAUCAGGUUGUUGAUACCCAUGUCCUCGUCUUCCUCUUCAGUUAUUGUCUUUAUUUUCGACCUUGUCAGAGUUUGUCCCAAGUUUUUGCUACUUCUGUAAGCUAUUAUAGGUUUAUUCGGAAAGAGAUCAUUAAGUGUCGGAUUAUUUUCGAUUAUAUUCCAGUGUCUUUUGAUGAUGUCUUUGACGUGAUGGGCUCUUGGUUGUAGUAGAAUGGAGAAGAUUGGUCUCUGUGUUGUUUUGUUGUUGAUAUUGUCUUUCAGAUAGUCCGGUCUUUUGUCGUGGGCGAUGUCGUCUGCCCAUGUCUGGGGUUGGCUAAGUCUGUAACCUCUUUGUGUCAGAUGUUGGAAGUGUCGUUCUUUUGUUGUUCGUAGGUGUUUCUGUCAGAUGUGUUUAAAUGAAUCUUACCAAUUCGCUGUUACAGAUGCUCUUCGUUGUCGAUUUCGGAUGAAUACCGUCGUUAUCGAAUCGUGUCCUCUUGUAUAGGUCAAUGUCCAAGAAAGUCGUGUUUUUGUCGCUGAUGGUCCAAGUCUUGCGUCCACGUUAGGAAAAUGUCGUCUAUAUAUCUGUACCAAUGCGUUGGUCUGAUCGUUUCGUUUUUCAUAAAAGUCGUCUCGAGAUUAGUCAUGAAGAUAUUGGCGAAUGAAGUGUGUGUGGUGAAGCGACAGUUGGAAGCGCGAGUUGAAAACAAUGGGGCUAUCGGUCUACUUGAAAGAAAGGCGAGGCGGAGAUGUGUUGUCUCUUUUGUGCUUCCGUUUCGGUCUCUAUAUAGAUUCUAGGAGCUACGCAGUUAUACUCGCAUUCGACCAACGCAUCGCAGUCGACUCUAGAUGAAAUGGCAAUGAAGAUCACGGCAUCAAUCGUGGAAAUGUAAGAACGGUACAGGAAGCGCAUUGUCUACAUGCAAAGUACUGGCGGCAAAGUACAUACGACGUCAGUUGGUUUUGCCCGUGGUAUCCAUCUGCAUGAGUGUGCAUGUACAGUAUGAGUAACGGUUUGACAUAAAUGGUUUUGAACGUACCUUGCAAUUAUUAUGUAUACUUGUCUAGAUCUGACCUUACGUAGCAUUUCUUGCUACUGUACUUUUCUCUUGCCACUAAUUAAUUUGCCAACUUAAUUUGGUUCUCCA
Corticium candelabrum is the source of this 3112-nucleotide long non-coding RNA. RefSeq lists it as uncharacterized. Lineage: Eukaryota; Metazoa; Porifera; Homoscleromorpha; Homosclerophorida; Plakinidae. The transcript has 5 exons. The record is from RefSeq and is a predicted model, not a curated record.